GGUACCACUGUAUCCUGUUCUCACAGUGGCCAUCUAGACGCCUGUGGGAAGCCCACAAGCAUGAGUUGAAUUCAAGAGCACUCUCCACACUUGUGUUCUCCUGCAACUAGUGUUCAGAGGCACACUGCCUCCACCUAUGCAAGAAAAGGGAAAAGAGCACAUUUCUCCCUUUCCUGCUUGUAGAACUGCAUUCUCCCUCUUGAUAUAUAGUUACAAAAUGCCCAGCCCUCCAGCACUAUGUAGCACAGCGGAAGGAGGACUGGAGGAGGGUGUGGGAAGAAGUAUCCUGUAUCCAUUUCCCACUUUUGGAAAUACUGAGGACUUAAAAAAAAAAUGCAGUUUGACUUUGUAUAUCUGGGGCUGAUUUAAGUGCAAGGGGAGCUGACCCCUACACUGGAAUUGCACCUGUUUUGGUUGAAUGUAGGUAGAGAUGUUUUCAAAGAGAAAACUCCAGGGAGUUAGUGGUAAGGCUCCAGUUGUUUUGAACAAUAUGAGAUGAAGCUACUUAUGGCUGAAUAAAUUUCACAAUAGUGUUCACACAUCAUGGUGCAAACACACACAUAGAGGUUGGCAAGAAUGCAGUAUUUAUGGUGAGUGCAGAAAUUCAUCACCAUAUCAUAAAAUCAGUAGUGAAUGCGGUGCUGAAACAAUACAACUGUCUUUUCUGUGGUGAAAUUCAUGGGGGAGGGCAGUGGAUUCUCCAAUUAAAGCUGAUACCUGUUUUGACUAUUUCUGAUUAGACUCACUCAGAUCAUCACGUGAAUAAGCCUGUUUGUGGAAGCACUGAUACACCAAAACAGUUCAUCAGCUUCCUUCCCCGAGCUUCAUUUCUCUAACCCGCACCUCUCGCAACCACCUUGCUGAUAACACAUAAUCCUCCUUCAUUCUACCUGGGGCAUCUCCAGCGAGGUGAUGCUACAGAAUCUGUGCAAGUGAUGAUUGGCAGUAGGAACUGAUCUAUGCGCACACAUUCCAUAGCAUUGCUGUCCUGUGCAAGAGACCUCCAUGUUUGUGUCUUGGGACCAUAGCUGUCAACUUACAGAUUUGAAAAUAAGGGACCAGCAGCCUCAAAAACAAGGGAUCAGCAGCCAAAAUAAGGGAUUUUAGUCAACCAGCAGCCAAACGAAGCCUCAAGCGGUGGUUCCCACAGCGCAGCAACCCAGCAAAGGGGAUGCAGCAAGGAAAACCAGCGUCACCUCUCCGCUGGGAAGCGCUCAGCAAAGGCGAGUCCCCAGGCAACGUGGCCGAUUUGAUCGGCACAAAGCAUGCAAGCUCUACCCCCCAGUCAUUCUUAGACUCCUUAUUCGGUGAGCAACGCAGCCAAGCAAUACAGUUGGAGCCUCCCUCCUCCCUGGUCGGCAGGGAGGGAGGGAGAAUAGCUGCUUCCUUUGAAACCCGGGAAAUUUAAGGGACAUCAUCAAUAAGGGACAGCAGCAGGACAUGGCGCUGGGAUAAGGGACUUUCCUGCCAAAUAAGGGACGGUUGACAGCUAUGCUUGGGACACAUUGGUUUCACAUGGUGCAUAUAUCUAGAGCUAGGUCUUGUUAUUGAAUAGAAGCAUUGUGUAAUCAGUCUGUGUGAUUGGCCACUGUGUGAACAGGAUUCUGGCCUUUGGUUUGACCCAGCACAAGGACUCUAGCCCACCUCUUGAUCUGAGGGCUUCUGCUUGUCCGGUGCAACUCCUGCUCCACAUGGACAUCGACAAACCAAUACAGACAAACCAGGACAGCAUUUACAUGUGUUGCAUCCCAAGGAAAUAGAUUCACAGGGACUGGGGUGCUGGGGAUAGGACAGAAGUUCAGUGUGAAAGUCAAAUGCCACUGUUGCCAGCUUGUUGGUUGGCCUGUUAACAUGAAUUAAGAAGCGCAUUCCCUUGCUAAAAUGGUUGGGUUGAUCUGGAUUUUCCCCGCAGAACUCUCCUUAGACAAUGUCAGCUUUGUGGGUGAGCUUUAGAAUGUUGAAUAACCAUGAAGCCAUCCAGCAGCUUAAUUCAUUCGUGUUAUGAUUGAAAUGUCAAAGCUCUGGUUGUGUUGGCAAGAAAGGCUGGAGGACCUAAAGUGAACGCCAAUGAUAGUACUACCCCAGAUUCACCAAUCCAACUCGCGUUGAUCUUUCGCUUUCCAUAUUUGUAUCUCGGAGUGAGCAUUAAUGCACCCUUUCUCAAGAGAUGUUGCCUGCAUAUUCCCCUGUUAAUGACGCCUGCAGAAUGCCUCUUUGUUUCUGGCUCAUUUAAGAUGUGUUUGAAGCCAGAAAGUAGCAGCAGCACAAUCCUGCUUUCUUCUUUUUAUCGUUACAGAAUUUCUAAGCAGCCAGUGGAAGAUGCCAACUGCUCCAAAAUCUUUAUUUCAUUUGACAAAUGGGUGCAAAUUGGUAGCUGAGGUCUAUCCCAGUUCUGUUCGGUUCUUUUUGUUUUGUUCUUUUAAAUUAUUGAGUUAUUUUUAUUGUCAAAUUCCAAAUGUUUAAUUUGGCCAGCUUUUGUACACUAGUUUUACUUUGAUGAGCUCUUUUGAUCUGGUUAUUUUAUCCUCUUAGCCAUAUUAAGACUUCUUUUUAAUAUGUUUUGAUAUUGGGCAUCUGCGUAUUGCCAUCCUCAAGAGUGACUAUUAAACCAAGGAGUGCAUUUCAGCCAGAUUUCAUGAGGGGCUUAGCUUUGGAACAUGUCUUCACCCCUAGAUCAUGGAAAGUCAUAGCAAGAAGAGAAUCUGCAGAGUGCUAUUUCAUCACCACCAAAUGUCCUCAGCUAGCUCCAGGCAUCUAGAACGAGAGCUUCUAUUUCAGAGAGUGUGCCUUCCAGGCAUGUGUGAGCCUUGAAACCUGACAUAUCAUUUUAGAAAUUAAUCGCUGAAUACAGCAGACCUGUUCAUGCAUUUGGACAAAUGCAUGUAGACGUGUGGUGGGGAGGGGCACACAUGUGAGCCCCCUUCCCAGUGUCACUUUUGAGUCAGGUCCUCUUAUGAUCCUUGCAUGUUGAGUGAGAUGGUCUGAAGGUAGAGAAUGGGGGUUAAGCAGAAUUCUUAAGCAGAAUGGGGAGGCAUCUAGGCACGUUCUCCCCAACUGGGUGCGGGAAAGGACGCUGUACAUGCUGGUCUGUUAGGGCAAAUGGGGCACUGCCCCAUUAACCUUGGUCUCCCCUCAAUCAGCCCCUCUCUGCCCGUCUUCUAGACUAACAACGAAUCCAGGGGGUGGCACUGCAUGCCAGCAUCCCCUUCCUAAGACUCAGUGUUGCCCUUAUAGAACUCUGCAGGGAGGAGAAGUAUGGGGACAAAACUAGUAUCAGAUGGCUUUGCCUGUCAUUGACUUUGGCUUCACCUCCUGUCGGUCUCCCUGUCAUCCUCCCUACCAGUCCCAAUGGGCAGCAGCCACCCCUGCAUGCUGGGAUGUUGGGGGCAGGGUUCUGUCUUUUGUUCCUCUCUGCUCACCACUUUAAUCUCACAUGUGUUCAUCCCAAAUGAAGUUUUAGGUUUUGAGAUCCUGCAUGCCUGAAUAGGGCUGAUACACCUAAGGAAUGUGCAAUGAGAUAUGUUUAGUCUGCAUCUGGGUUGAGCAAAGUCUUGGCCAGACUUUAUCUCAUUGAAAUCGGUGAGGUCUGUACACUUAACAGUGUGGUUUGUCCUCAUAGAUUACAACAUGUCCUGUGCGUCAGAAAUAAAUAUACGAAAAGUGGUGGCUUUGCAUCAGGCAUGUGUUACAUGCAGCUCAUAAAGUUAAGUAAUGCCUACCAACUGUACAGGUUGGAGGGUCAAUUUCGCCUUCCUUUCUGAGACAUUAGGCACAAUCAGUGAUACACUGAAGAACGCUGUUAAGCAUGUAAGUCACAUUGAUUUCAGUAUGAAAUGUUUUAACUAAGGAUUGCUUAGACUUCCAGUUUUCCAUACUUGAGUGUUAAAACUAUGAAGCAGGCAUGGUUAUGGUGUGUGUGUGGAAACACCCAGUUCAUGCAUGCUGUCAAAGGUCUGGCUGCAUGCCCUUCCAUGUGUAAUACUGCAAAUUGCACAUGGGCAAUUCUCAAUCAUAUGUGCAGCCAGAAUCCCCAAGCAUCAUAGGACAUUCUGGGUUUCAUGUACUGUGUAUCCUCCAUCCCCUGUUUACAUUUUCAAGCUGAGAGUUGGGGGAAAAGGAAUGUCUGAAUUAGCCCUCACUCUCUCUGGUGUGUGUGCACAAAGAAAGUUAUGUCUCGGUCCCCAAACGAUAAAGCUUGUAGCCAUCUUGUAUUGAGUCAGACCAUUGGUUUAUCUUGCUCUGAACUGUCCGCACUGACUUGUAGCAAGUCUGUAGGCUUUUUCAAGCAAGGGUCUCUCCCAGCCAUACUUGGAGAUGACAUGGAUUGAGGAUGGGACUUCCAAUGAGGCAUGAGCCCUUCCCCAAAGGAGGAAAGAGUGAAGCCGCAGUGCUUCCAGCAGGAUGGUCUUUUUUCUGAGUCUUUGAUAGCAUUUCAUGUUUAUGGAGGACACAUGGUCAGAAGCAGAGCUGCCAUGGCGGAGGCUGCAGAAGGGAUUGCUUCCUGAUGAGCUGCCGCUGACAUGAUUUGAUCAUUGGCUCAUGUUUUUGUGGUCAUUCUAACACGAAACAUCCCUUUACCCUUUAGCUGUGUGCAAAUGAUUUACUCUGUGUGUGGUUUAAGAGGAUGUAGAACAGCACGUUUUUAUUGUUAUUUUGUAGUUUAUGAUGUGUGCGUCCACCACUUACC
This 4687-nucleotide long non-coding RNA is filed under the name Podarcis lilfordi (Lilford's wall lizard). The record is from RNAcentral. Lineage: Eukaryota; Metazoa; Chordata; Lepidosauria; Squamata; Lacertidae.